This 231-nucleotide ribosomal RNA is filed under the name uncultured bacterium. RNAcentral describes it as "partial 16S ribosomal RNA". It matches the Rfam family "Bacterial small subunit ribosomal RNA", at positions 367 to 597 of the family's 1533-position model. The record is from RNAcentral.
CUCAAUGGGAGAAAUCCUGACGCAGCAACGCCGCGUUGAGGAUGAAGGGUCUAUGACUUGUAAACUCCUGUAAAGAAGGAAAAAAUUCCCAUUAGAUGGGAGAUGAUGGUACUUCUGGAGUAAGCCCCGGCUAACUACGUUCCAGCAGCCGCGGUAGUACGUAGGGGGCAAGCGUUGUCCGGAUUUACUGGGUGUAAAGGGUGCUCAGGCGGAUUUGUAAGUCAGAGGUGA